RNAcentral lists this small nuclear RNA (35 nucleotides) under Cervus elaphus hippelaphus. Lineage: Eukaryota; Metazoa; Chordata; Mammalia; Artiodactyla; Cervidae. The record is from RNAcentral.
AUGGCUUCUCAGCCUUUUGGCUAAGAGCAAGUGUA